Molecule: ribosomal RNA, 402 nt
Filed under: Triticum aestivum (bread wheat)
Lineage: Eukaryota; Viridiplantae; Streptophyta; Magnoliopsida; Poales; Poaceae
Description: partial small subunit ribosomal RNA
Source: RNAcentral
AUGCUGAGAGGAGAACCUCGAGUGAGAACUUGGCGGCAAAUGAAAAGUCUCUUGAAAGGGAGAUUUUUGCCCACUAAUUAUGACCAGAUCCUAUUUAUCCAAUUUCAAAAUUGUGCUCAAGGAAAUAGGACUGUUUCAGAUUCUAUGGAGGAGUUUCUAAGGCUACAAGUGAGGUGCAACCUUACUGAAAUUGAACAACAACAAGUUGCAAGGUACAUCAAUGUACUCAAUGAUGCUAUUCAAGAUCGAUUGAUGAUGCAACAAAUCUGGUCCGUUGAUCAAGCACAAGCUCUAGCCUUAAAGGCCCAGAGGUUUGUGAGGACAAGAAAGGCAACUAAGGCUCCAUAUCCUCCAUAUCACUACAAAAAAAUACACUUCCAUGAUGAUACGUGUUUGUCAUAG